GUCCCUGUAGCGCAAUAAAUAGCGCAUUGGACCUAAUCCAAAAGUCGUGGGUUUAAAUACCAUUUGGGAUG
Trichonephila clavata is the source of this 71-nucleotide non-coding RNA. The record is from the annotation of a GenBank genome assembly. Lineage: Eukaryota; Metazoa; Arthropoda; Arachnida; Araneae; Nephilidae.